Molecule: transfer RNA, 60 nt
Filed under: uncultured Geminigera
Lineage: Eukaryota; Cryptophyceae; Pyrenomonadales; Geminigeraceae
Source: RNAcentral
CGGUCCACUACCUGAAACUUGCAGAAUUCCUAUUCAAACUUUAAAUAUAGCUAGUGUUAA